Molecule: long non-coding RNA, 347 nt
Filed under: Salvia miltiorrhiza (redroot sage)
Lineage: Eukaryota; Viridiplantae; Streptophyta; Magnoliopsida; Lamiales; Lamiaceae
Description: long non-coding RNA (SMIL_LNC011002)
Source: RNAcentral
UAAUUUAACUUUGAAUUUAAAAAGCAUUUAUCACAUACUUUGCAUUCUCAUAACUAUGAGGGGAUGCUUACCUACUUACAAAAAAAAAAAAAAUAUACAAACAAACAAACUUAUAACUGUAAGGGGAUGCUUCCCUCCUUAUGCAAGAAUACUCAUAAUUUAUCUAGAAUUAUAAUCAUCCAUUGCAUACUGCUCAUACUUGGCAUUAACAACACAAUUUCUUGACAAGUUACUUGAAAAAGUUGUACCUGUUACUCUAGAAUCAGGGCAAAGGAAGGCUAGUGUGGUCCUUUAGAGUUUCUGAAGAAUCACUUGGGCUCAUGGGUAUCCUUUUGAGCAACCCUUCU